Molecule: ribosomal RNA, 492 nt
Filed under: uncultured bacterium
Lineage: Bacteria
Description: partial 16S ribosomal RNA
Rfam family: Bacterial small subunit ribosomal RNA
Source: RNAcentral
AGUGAACGCUGGCGGUAUGCCUUACACAUGCAAGUCGAACGGCAGCACAGUAGGUUCUUGCUCGUACGGAGUGCGGGUGGCGGGCGGGUUAGGUAGACAUCUGACUCGACUUGUUCGUUAGGGAUACCGAAGCGAAACUAACACUGCUACCGCAUACCACCUGCGAGUGAGAGCAGUUCAUGUUCCGACCUUGCGCGAUGGACUGAGCCGAUGUCGGAUUAGCUAGUUGGCGGGGUAAAGGCCGACCAAGGCGACGAUCCGUAGCUGGUCUGAGAGGACGAUCAGCCACACUGGAACUGAGACACGGUCCAGACUCCUACGGGAGGCAGCAGUGGGGAAUUUUGGACAAUGGGCGAAAGCCUGAUCCAGCAAUGCCGCGUGGGUGAAGAAGGCCUUCGGGUUGUAAAGCCCUUUUGUUGGGAAAGAAAACCAGCACGUUAAUACCGCGCUGUUCUGACGGUACCCAAAGAAUAAGCACCGGCUAACUUCGUG